UAACGCUAGCGGCGGGCUUAAUACAUGCAAGUCAAGGGGUAGCAAUACACCGGCGUACGGGUGCGUAACGCGUAUGGAACCUGCCCUUAUCUGGGGGAUAACUCGGGGAAACUCGAGCUAAUACCGCAUAAGAUAGUAGAAUGGCAUCAUUCAGCUAUUAAAGAUUUAUCGGAUAAGGAUGGCCAUGCGUAAGAUUAGAUAGUUGGCGAGGUAACGGCUCACCAAGUCUACGAUCUUUAGGGGCUCUGAGAGGAGAAUCCCCCACACUGGCACUGAGAUACGGGCCAGACUCCUACGGGAGGCAGCAGUAGGGAAUAUUGGGCAAUGGGCGGAAGCCUGACCCAGCCACGCCGCGUGCAGGAAGACGGCCC
Molecule: ribosomal RNA, 371 nt
Filed under: Bacteroidetes bacterium '6.5 MW-11'
Lineage: Bacteria; Pseudomonadati; Bacteroidota
Description: bacterial SSU rRNA
Rfam family: Bacterial small subunit ribosomal RNA
Source: RNAcentral